RNAcentral lists this ribosomal RNA (711 nucleotides) under uncultured bacterium. Its description in RNAcentral is "bacterial SSU rRNA". It matches the Rfam family "Bacterial small subunit ribosomal RNA", at positions 95 to 792 of the family's 1533-position model. The record is from RNAcentral.
AGUGCGGACGGGUGAGUAACACGUAGGUAACCUGCCCCGGAGCGGGGGAUAACAUUUGGAAACAGAUGCUAAUACCGCAUAACAACAAAAGCCACAUGGCUUUUGUUUGAAAGAUGGCUUUAGCUAUCACUCUGGGAUGGACCUGCGGUGCAUUAGCUAGUUGGUAAGGUAACGGCUUACCAAGGCGAUGAUGCAUAGCCGAGUUGAGAGACUGAUCGGCCACAAUGGAACUGAGACACGGUCCAUACUCCUACGGGAGGCAGCAGUAGGGAAUCUUCCACAAUGGGCGCAAGCCUGAUGGAGCAACACCGCGUGAGUGAAGAAGGGUUUCGGCUCGUAAAGCUCUGUUGUUGGAGAAGAACGUGCGUGAGAGUAACUGUUCACGCAGUGACGGUAUCCAACCAGAAAGUCACGGCUAACUACGUGCCAGCAGCCGCGGUAAUACGUAGGUGGCAAGCGUUAUCCGGAUUUAUUGGGCGUAAAGCGAGCGCAGGCGGUUGCUUAGGUCUGAUGUGAAAGCCUUCGGCUUAACCGAAGAAGUGCAUCGGAAACCGGGCAACUUGAGUGCAGAAGAGGACAGUGGAACUCCAUGUGUAGCGGUGGAAUGCGUAGAUAUAUGGAAGAACACCAGUGGCGAAGGCGGCUGUCUGGUCUGCAACUGACGCUGAGGCUCGAAAGCAUGGGUAGCGAACAGGAUUAGAUACCCUGGUA